Molecule: ribosomal RNA, 418 nt
Filed under: uncultured bacterium
Lineage: Bacteria
Description: partial 16S ribosomal RNA
Rfam family: Bacterial small subunit ribosomal RNA
Source: RNAcentral
AAUCUUCGGCAAUGGGCGCAAGCCUGACCGAGCGACGCCGCGUGCGGGAUGAAGGCCUUCGGGUUGUAAACCGCUGUCAGAGGGGAGGAAAUGUGUGGGGGCUAUCCCCCAUGUUUGACCUAUCCUCAGAGGAAGGACGGGCUAAGUUCGUGCCCGCAGCCGCGGUAAGACGAACCGUCCAAACGUGAUUCGGAAUUAUUGGGCUUACAGGGUGCGUAGGCGGUGCGGUAAGUCGGGUGUGAAAUCCCUCAGCUCAACUGAGGAACUGCGCUCGAUACUGCCGUGCUUGAGGAAGAUAGAGGUCAGCGGAACUGAUGGUGGAGCGGUGAAAUGCGUUGAUAUCAUCAGGAACACCAGUGGCGAAAGCGGCUGACUGGAUCUUUUCUGACGCUGAGGCACGAAAGCCAGGGGAGCGAAC